RNAcentral lists this ribosomal RNA (468 nucleotides) under uncultured bacterium. Its description in RNAcentral is "partial 16S ribosomal RNA". It matches the Rfam family "Bacterial small subunit ribosomal RNA", at positions 28 to 507 of the family's 1533-position model. The record is from RNAcentral.
GACGAACGCUGGCGGCGUGCUUAACACAUGCAAGUCGAACGGAAAGGCCCUGCUUUUGUGGGGUGCUCGAGUGGCGAACGGGUGAGUAACACGUGAGUAACCUGCCCUUGACUUUGGGAUAACUUCAGGAAACUGGGGCUAAUACCGGAUAGGAGCUCCUGCUGCAUGGUGGGGGUUGGAAAGUUUCGGCGGUUGGGGAUGGACUCGCGGCUUAUCAGCUUGUUGGUGGGGUAGUGGCUUACCAAGGCUUUGACGGGUAGCCGGCCUGAGAGGGUGACCGGCCACAUUGGGACUGAGAUACGGCCCAGACUCCUACGGGAGGCAGCAGUGGGGAGUAUUGCACAAUGGGCGGAAGCCUGAUGCAGCAACGCCGCGUGCGGGAUGACGGCCUUCGGGUUGUAAACCGCUUUCGCCUGUGACGAAGCGUGAGUGACGGUAAUGGGUAAAGAAGCACCGGCUAACUACGUA